Molecule: ribosomal RNA, 497 nt
Filed under: uncultured bacterium
Lineage: Bacteria
Description: partial 16S ribosomal RNA
Rfam family: Bacterial small subunit ribosomal RNA
Source: RNAcentral
GAUGAACGCUGGCGGCGUGCCUAAUACAUGCAAGUCGAGCGAACAGACGAGGAGCUUGCUCCUCUGACGUUAGCGGCGGACGGGUGAGUAACACGUGGAUAACCUACCUAUAAGACUGGGAUAACUUCGGGAAACCGGAGCUAAUACCGGAUAAUAUAUUGAACCGCAUGGUUCAAUAGUGAAAGACGGUUUUGCUGUCACUUAUAGAUGGAUCCGCGCCGCAUUAGCUAGUUGGUAAGGUAACGGCUUACCAAGGCAACGAUGCGUAGCCGACCUGAGAGGGGGAUCGGCCACACUGGUACUGAGACACGGUCCAGACUCCUACGGGAGGCAGCAGUAGGGAAUCUUCCGCAAUGGGCGAAAGCCUGACGGAGCAACGCCGCGUGAGUGAUGAAGGUCUUCGGAUCGUAAAACUCUGUUAUUAGGGAAGAACAAAUGUGUAAGUAACUAUGCACGUCUUGACGGUACCUAAUCAGAAAGCCACGGCUAACUACGUG